RNAcentral lists this ribosomal RNA (460 nucleotides) under uncultured bacterium. Its description in RNAcentral is "partial 16S ribosomal RNA". It matches the Rfam family "Bacterial small subunit ribosomal RNA", at positions 338 to 795 of the family's 1533-position model. The record is from RNAcentral.
CCUACGGGUGGCAGCAGUGAGGAAUAUUGGUCAAUGGGCGGGAGACUGAACCAGCCAAGUAGCGUGAGGGAUGAAGGCCCUGCGGAUUGUAAACUUCUUUUGUCAAGGAAUAAAGUGCGGCACGUGUGCCUUUUUGUGUGUACUUUAUGAAUAAGGAUCGGCUAACUCCGUGCCAGCAGCCGCGGUAAUACGGAGGAUCCGAGCGUUAUCCGGAUUUAUUGGGUUUAAAGGGAGCGUAGAUGGGUGGUUAAGUCAGUUGUGAAAGUCUGCGGCUCAACCGGAAAAUUGCAAUUGAUACGGGCAGUCUUGAGUACAGGUGAGGUAGGCGGAAUGCGUGGUGUAGCGGUGAAAUGCUUAGAUAUCACGAAGAACUCCGAUUGCGAAGGCAGCUUACUAAACUGACACUGACAUUGAUGCUCGAAAGUGUGGGUAUCAAACAGGAUUAGAUACCCCGGUAGUC